This is a long non-coding RNA of Vicia villosa (hairy vetch), 1041 nucleotides long. RefSeq lists it as uncharacterized. The record is from RefSeq and is a predicted model, not a curated record. The transcript is spliced from 3 exons. Lineage: Eukaryota; Viridiplantae; Streptophyta; Magnoliopsida; Fabales; Fabaceae.
CGAAAAAGGAAAGAAGAAAACUACAGAGAGUAUCGUAGCUUUCAUGUAACGUGAAAAUGCCUUCUUCCCAUAAGCACUUAUGAGAAGUGCUUUUUCAUUCUAAAAAAAACACUUAUUUUCAAAAAGCCAUUCUCUCUACUCUCCUUCAUCAUGAAACAAUGCUAACAAAUAAUCAACCAAUUGAUUCACUCCUAAAGAAGGAGAAGGAAUUACCGGCAAAAAAUAUUAUGACGGGGUGACGGGAUUCCGGCAGGGACGUUUCCGGCGUCACGUUCGGUUUGUGGAGGCGGGGAAAUCGAGAUUGAGAGGUGCAGCGGAGCUUUGAGGUAACCGUGGAGGUGCACGGUGGAGUUCCAAGGUUGUUCUCGCGUUUCCGUCAACAAAUCCGAAUGGUUUAAAAGAGGAUGAAAUUAUAGAUGAAAAAACAUUGGGUGUGAGCUCAGAAGAUGGAAGACUUAGUUGAGGUUUAUGUCAUUGGUGGGGAUGGUAUACUGGAUGAGUUGCAGCUUGCUGACUUCACAGUGUUUGGUGCUUCACAGCGUUUGGUGGUCCGGUAAGUUCUCCAUAAUUUUAAAUUAUAACUCAUCUCCUUUUUUUUUCUUAUAGAAAUUGGAGAACUUGGUGUAUGCAUGGAAAUUUAAGAGGUGUCUAUGCACUGUUGUUCUACGCACCAGAUUAGUUUUUUUGUUAACGUUGUCUGUCCCUCGAAAUUUCGGUUGUUUGUAUGGUUAAUUUUCACCUUCACUGAAUAGGAACUAGUUAAGAAUGGUGUGGUUGUAAGCAACGUGUUUUUGUGAAUGGUGUGUUAGAAUGGAAGCCCUGGCACUAACAUUUUUGGCCACAACUAUGUAAUUACUUGCUCUUCAAUUCUGAUUAAACAAAAACAGUUUUUUAAGAAUUCAGUCCAUAAUUAUGUAAUUACUCGCCCUUAGUUGUUUCUUCAAAGGUUUCUACUAUUUGUCAAGAAUGAUGUAUUCGUAGUAAUUGUAACCAUAGAUUGAUGUAUUUUGUUGUAUAUUGCUAGGGGAGCAUAUAAAAAUU